RNAcentral lists this ribosomal RNA (428 nucleotides) under uncultured prokaryote. Its description in RNAcentral is "bacterial SSU rRNA". It matches the Rfam family "Bacterial small subunit ribosomal RNA", at positions 355 to 774 of the family's 1533-position model. The record is from RNAcentral.
UGAGGAAUUUUGCGCAAUGGGAGCAAUCCUGACGCAGCAACGCCGCGUGGGUGAUGAAGGCCUUCGGGUCGUAAAGCCCUGUCAGGUGGGAAGAAUGUCCCGGAACUGAACAGGUUUCGGGAGUGACGGUACCACCAGAGGAAGCACCGGCUAACUCCGUGCCAGCAGCCGCGGUAAUACGGAGGGUGCAAGCGUUAUUCGGAAUUACUGGGCGUAAAGCGCGUGUAGGCGGUCCUGCAAGUCUGAUGCGAAAGCCCCGGGCUUAACCCGGGAAGUGCAUUGGAAACUGUGGGACUUGAGUACUGGAGAGGAAGGGGGAAUUCCCGGUGUAGAGGUGAAAUUCGUAGAGAUCGGGAGGAAUAUCAGUGGCGAAGGCGCCCAUCUGGACGGUAACUGACGCUGAGACGCGAAAGCGUGGGGAGCAAACA